RNAcentral lists this ribosomal RNA (486 nucleotides) under uncultured bacterium. RNAcentral's name for it is "bacterial SSU rRNA". It matches the Rfam family "Bacterial small subunit ribosomal RNA", at positions 28 to 507 of the family's 1533-position model. The record is from RNAcentral.
GACGAACGCUGGCGGCGCGCUUAACACAUGCAAGGUCGUGCGGUGUCGAAGGCAAGUCUUACGACAAGCCUUCGACACAGCGGCGAACGGGUGAGUAACACGUGAGUAGCUGUCCUAAGGAGGGGGAUAACGCCUGGAAACGGGUGCUAACACCCCAUAUGCCUCGCAAGAGGUGAAAGUGUACUUGCUACAGCCUUAGGGUGUGCUCGCGGCCUAUCAGCUAGUUGGUGAGGUAACGGCUCACCAAGGCCAAGACGGGUAGCCGGCCUGAGAGGGUGUACGGCCACACUGGAAUUGAGAUACGGUCCAGACUCCUACGGGAGGCAGCAGUGGGGAAUCUUGGGCAAUGGGCGAAAGCCUGACCCAGCCAUGCCGCGUGAAGGAAGACGGCCUUAUGGGUUGUAAACUUCUUUACUACGCGAAUAGAGGUUAGUACGAGAUACUAAUAGGAAGGUAGUGUAGUAAAAAGCACCGGCUAACUCCGUG